Molecule: transfer RNA, 72 nt
Filed under: Hippoglossus stenolepis (Pacific halibut)
Lineage: Eukaryota; Metazoa; Chordata; Actinopteri; Pleuronectiformes; Pleuronectidae
Description: tRNA-Cys
Rfam family: tRNA
About the family: Transfer RNA (tRNA) molecules are approximately 80 nucleotides in length. Their secondary structure includes four short double-helical elements and three loops (D, anti-codon, and T loops).
Source: RNAcentral
GGGGGUGUAGCUCAGCGGUGCAGCAUUUGACUGCAGAUCAAGCAGUUCCUGGUUCAACUCUGGGUCCCCCCU